This 481-nucleotide ribosomal RNA is filed under the name uncultured bacterium. Its description in RNAcentral is "bacterial SSU rRNA". It matches the Rfam family "Bacterial small subunit ribosomal RNA", at positions 33 to 507 of the family's 1533-position model. The record is from RNAcentral.
GGACGACGCUGGCGGCGUGCCUAACACAUGCAAGUCGAGCGAGAAGCUUAUGAACGAGCCUUCGGGCAAGUGAUUAAGUGGAAAGCGGCGGACGGGUGAGUAACGCGUGAGUAAUCUGCCUUAAGGAGGGGGAUAACACAGAGAAAUCUGUGCUAAUACCGCAUAACAUAUAUCUUUCGCAUGUUAGAUAUAUCAAAACUCCGGUGCCUUAAGAUGAGCUCGCGUCCGAUUAACUAGUUGGUGAGGUAAUGGCUCACCAAGGUUACGAUCGGUAGCCGGACUGAGAGGUUGAACGGCCACAUUGGAACUGAGACACGGUCCAGACUCCUACGGGAGGCAGCAGUGGGGAAUAUUGGGCAAUGGGCGCAAGCCUGACCCAGCAACGCCGCGUGAAGGAAGAAGGCCUUCGGGUUGUAAACUUCUUUUACCAGGGACGAACACAAUGACGGUACCUGGAGAAAAAGCAACGGCUAACUACGUG